CUUAGAAAAAAGGGUUCUUGUGGGUGCUAAAUAGAACCAUUGGGGUUCUUUGCCAAGGAAAUAGAACCUUUUGCCUGAAAAGGGUGCUAUUUCUUACUCGCGAGGAUUAUUUGAACUUAAACGACCGUUUAUGGAACCCUUUCCCGGAGACGCUCACUCUGCUGCAGUGGAUUUAACGAUGAAGAUGUCUGUCAAUGAUGAAGAUGUCUGAAACACAAUCUUGUUUUUGAGAGGUGGAAAAGUUACGCAAAUCAUCGUUGGUUCAGUACCCAAACCAUAAAAAAUACACUGAUGUCCUGUGGUGUCUAGAUAUCCGUUUCUUAAUGACCACAGCUAAUCUGGUUAUGUAUGUUAUUUUUUAACGUUUUGUUAUGGAAAACAUUAUUCCUCAAUUGAAUUCCUAUACUACUCUGACUCUGUCUGAGUCUCAUAAUUCAUGUCUUUACUCAAAGGAGACCCUGCUGGAGUGUAUUAAGAAUAAGUUCAAAAAGGAAAGGUCUCCUUUGAUAAACUUGACGACGGUGCAGGAGAUUAAGAGAAAGUUUGGUGUCAGAAGACAAAGAAUUGUGGCCAUGUGCCUCUGGAGGACCCACCUGGACAUCAGAGAGCAAAAAAGUACAGAGUGGGGGUCCAGAUGUCUUCUGAUUACGAGCCAACACAAGAGAUUAUGUUGGACCUUGAAGCAGUUGGGGAGGACUACCACAGCUUUCAAGAGCAUAUAAACGCCAUAAACAAUUAGUUGUGUCGUCGUCAGCCAGAUAUUAGUCAUAUAAUGGACAGGAUGAGGCAAACUGUCUAUAAGAGGGUAGAGCAAAUGGGAAAACCAACUGAGGAGGUGAUGGAGAUGUUCCAAUUUCUUUGGGUGCCAGAGCUGAUGCAUCAUGAAAUGAAGUUGCGGUUUGGACUGGACUUAAAGCUAAGCCUGCAUAACACCCUCGGUAUAUUGACCCCUAACGUCAUCAGAGUGGCUGACAGUGGGAGUCAGAGGGAGAGCCUGUCAAGCCUACGAGAUACUAACACAGAUGACCUUCAAAAAAGUGCUGCUGUCCUAAUUUUGCCUGCCCUUUUUAAGGAGGAUGCCAAGUUUCUGUAUUGUUUAGACGAGGAACCACUGAGCGUGUUUCCAACCAUCAUCUUCCAGGGUGGUGAUACUCCCCUCCUUGCCAGGAGAGCAUCCAUAAAGAUGGAUGGCAUCACAAUAGCAAGUGGAGAGAUGGAUGUGCCACAUGCCCUCCAAUGCGAAUUUGUCAUUGGCCCCUCCCCUGACAUUGAUGCCUCCUUAGGCCUUAUCUGUAUUUUUUGUUUAUAUUUUCUUUUUGAUGUUCAGUACCCAAAAGAGGCCCACCACACAUUACUAUUCUUUGACAGACGCCUUAACCUGUCUAUGUCUAAGCCCUCCACUCCAGUGUUGCGUGUGGAAAAAAUGUUAUCAUAAAGUGUGUUUUAUAAUCAUUUGAAAUGUAUUAAUUUGUAAAAAUGUAACUAUUGCUGUUUUGAGUGUAUUUAUGACACAUUUUUUAUGCAAGUAACAGAAGAUAUGUUUAAGCAAUGAAUAUGUAAAUUAAUGUAAAUAUGUAUCUAUUGUUGUUUUGAGUGUCUUAUGACACACGUUUUUUUGCGAGUAAUAUAAAAGAUAUGCUAAAGCAAUGAAUAUGUAAAUUAAUGUAGAAAUACUGAAUACAGUAUUUGAAUGAUAA
Molecule: long non-coding RNA, 1697 nt
Organism: Alosa sapidissima (American shad)
Lineage: Eukaryota; Metazoa; Chordata; Actinopteri; Clupeiformes; Clupeidae
Exons: 8
Source: RefSeq, a predicted model, not a curated record